This 927-nucleotide ribosomal RNA is filed under the name Triticum aestivum (bread wheat). RNAcentral describes it as "partial small subunit ribosomal RNA". Lineage: Eukaryota; Viridiplantae; Streptophyta; Magnoliopsida; Poales; Poaceae. The record is from RNAcentral.
AUGUCGAUAGCCCUCAUCCUCUUGCUCGUCACGCUUGGUGUCGAUGGCGUCUCUAGUCUCUCGCCCGCUGUGCGCACGGACGACAUAGAGAUGGCGGCCAUGCAAGCGAUCGCCAAGUCUACCGGCGCCGACAGGUCGCUUGGCUGGGGCGUCAAAUCGGCAGAUCCAUGCGACGGCACCUGGCCAGGCGUCCGCUGCGACAAAGAUUCGCAUGUCGUCGCCAUCAACGCCAGCCGCGCCGGCCUCUCCGGCACUCUCUCGGGCACCGACCUCGUCGACCUCGGAUACCUCACGGAGCUCGAUCUCAGCUUCAACCGCCUCGGCGACGACAUGCCUAUCCUCCCAAGGCCUCUCACCUACCUGACGACACUCAACCUACAGUCCAAUUCCUUCAUGGACAUGCCACAGACCUUCUUCCGCUCCUUCCCCGCGCUCGAGACCGUGGUCCUCGACGACAACUGGGUUAUAAUGGGGGACAUCACGGACGUGCCCCCCUACCCCGGCCUCAGGAGCUUCUCGGCCAACAACGUCACCAUCUAUGGCCGCUUCCCCGCCUACUUCGGCAACACCACCCUUUUCCCUGCCCUCGAGAGCCUCUCUUUAGCGAGGAAUGAUCUCAAGAGUGGACUGCCCUCCUCCUUCGCCAAGAAUAGCAAGAUCAAGUUCCUCGACAUUAGCAGGCAGCGGGAUUCGAUCGGCCUCGGCAUGUACAAUGGGUUUCUAGAUUUCAUCGCCGGCAUGACUAGCCUCGUCGAGAUCCACGUGGCUGGCGAUCAAUUCCGCGGCCCUCUGCUGGACGUCUCCGCGCUGGCCAAUCUCAAGGUGUUUGAUGCCGCCGACAACAACUUGUGCGGUCCGCUCAAGUUUCCUCCUGGCGUUGCCGUGAACGUCACCGGAAACCCCCAAAUCGGCAAGGACUGCCCAUAG